GCCCUUCCUACGGGAGGCAGCAGCGUACGAACGAAGGCGAUAAAGCGGGCAAUCAGCAGCGCGGAAAGCCCGUGCUUAUGGAACAGAUGAUACGCGCGCUGGUGGUAGUGUGAGGGAAGGUGCGAUAGCCAGUUUUGUACGAUUCGCGUAUUACCCAGCCAGCGGCCCUGAAUAUAGCUUAGCCAGCAGCCGCGGUAAUACGGGAGGCAGCAGUCGCGGUAAUACGGGAGCCAGCAGCCGCGGUAAUACGGGAGCCAGCAGCCGCGGUAAUACGGGAGCCAGCAGCCGCGGUAAUACGGGAGCCAGCAGCCGCGGUAAUACGGGAGCCAGCAGCCGCGGUAAUACGGGAGCCAGCAGCCGCGGUAAUACGGGAGCCAGCAGCCGCGGUAAU
RNAcentral lists this ribosomal RNA (391 nucleotides) under uncultured bacterium. RNAcentral describes it as "partial 16S ribosomal RNA". The record is from RNAcentral.